This 1081-nucleotide unclassified non-coding RNA is filed under the name Hevea brasiliensis (rubber tree). Lineage: Eukaryota; Viridiplantae; Streptophyta; Magnoliopsida; Malpighiales; Euphorbiaceae. The record is from RNAcentral.
CAAAGGCACAAAAUUUUCCCCCUUUGAACGCCACACGCCUUCCACCAUUGUUGACCACAGAGCUCCUAAAACCCCCAAUUCAUAUCUCCUUCCAACAAUACAAAUUUAGGGUUAGGGUUUUUGGGAGCUCGAAUUUGUUGUGAACAAAAUGGCUAUUCCAACCGCAUUUUCUGGGCCCAAGCUUGAGUCUUUAUCAUCAUCGGCUGCGGCGGCUUCUCCGGCGUCAAUUGGGUUGUUUUGCAAUCCGGGUCGGGUUAGAAGGCUGUCAAUUCAAAAGGGUUUGUUCAAUUCAGGGAUCAGGUGUGAAGUUGCAGCAUCUGAUGUUGUGGAUCAGAGUCAGAGUUCUGGAAAUGUGACGUCUUCUUCUAGCCUUUCUGCUCUUGAGCAGCUUAAGAGCUCAGCUGCUGACAGAUAUACCAAGGAGAGGAGCAGUAUCGUUGUCAUUGGGCUCAGUAUCCACACUACGCCUGUUGAAGUACGUGAAAAACUGGCUAUUCCUGAAGCAGAGUGGCCGAGAGCCAUUGGGGAGCUCUGCAAUUUGAAUCAUAUUGAAGAAGCUGCAGUUCUUAGUACCUGUAACAGGAUGGAGAUCUAUGUUGUGGCUCUUUCCCAACAUCGUGGCGUAAAAGAAGUUACCGAGUGGAUGUCAAAGACAAGUGGAGUCCCGGUUACAGAAAUUUGUAAGCACCGUUUUUUACUGUAUAAUAAUGAUGCGACACAGCACAUCUUUGAAGUAUCAGCUGGGCUAGACUCGUUGGUCUUAGGGGAAGGUCAAAUCCUUGCUCAAGUUAAGCAAGUUGUCAAGGUUGGUCAAGGAGUUACAGGCUUUGGAAGAAACAUUAGUGGACUAUUCAAGCAUGCAAUCACAGUCGGAAAGAGGGUUAGAACUGAAACAAACAUUGCAGCAGGCGCAGUUUCUGUAAGUUCAGCUGCUGUGGAGUUGGCUCUGAUGAAGCUUCCUGAAUCCUGCCACACUACUGCUAGGAUGCUAGUUAUUGGAGCAGGCAAGAUGGGGAAACUUGUGAUUAAGCACUUGGUAGCCAAGGGAUGCACAACGAUGGUUGUUGUAAACAGAAGCGAG